Molecule: unclassified non-coding RNA, 373 nt
Filed under: uncultured bacterium
Lineage: Bacteria
Description: contains 16S-23S intergenic spacer region
Source: RNAcentral
UCACCGCUUACGCGGGCAGUCUCUCUAGAGUCCCCACCAUUACGUGCUGGCAACUAAAGAUAGGGGUUGCGCUCGUUGCGGGACUUAACCCAACAUCUCACGACACGAGCUGACGACGGCCAUGCAGCACCUAGUUUCGUGCAAUUGCUUGCUGACCUAUUUCUAAAUCAUUCACUAACUUUCAAGCCCUGGUAAGGUUCCGCGCGUAUCAUCGAAUUAAACCACAUGCUCCUCCGCUUGUGCGGGCCCCCGUCAAUUCCUUUGAGUUUCAGCCUUGCGGCCGUACUCCCCAGGUGGAUCACUUAAUGCUUUCGCUUGGACGCGUACAGUGUAUCGCACACAUCUAGUGAUCAUCGUUUAAGGCGUGGACUAC